UGGGUCGGCUGGACGGUCGCGUGGCGCGAGAGCGCACCGAGGAACGUCCGGGCUCCACAGGGCAGGGCGGUGGGUAACACCCACCCGGAGUGAUCCGCGAGACAGUGCCACAGAGAGCAGACCGCCCCGGUUCCGACCGGGGUAAGGGUGAAAGGGUGGUGUAAGAGACCACCGGGGUCGUGGUGACACGACCCGCACGGUAAACCUCGCCCGGAGCAAGGUCAGACAGGGGAUGCCGACGCGGCCCGCCGAGUCCCCGGGUAGACCGCUGGAGCGGCACGGCAACGUGUCGCCGAGAGAGAUGACCGUCCACGGGGUUUCGACCCCCGGACAGAACCCGGCGUACAGGCCGGCCCAUUCG
This 361-nucleotide RNase P RNA is filed under the name Microbacterium aquilitoris. Its description in RNAcentral is "RNase P RNA component class A". It matches the Rfam family "Bacterial RNase P class A". From Rfam's summary of the family: Ribonuclease P (RNase P) is a ubiquitous endoribonuclease, found in archaea, bacteria and eukarya as well as chloroplasts and mitochondria. Its best characterised activity is the generation of mature 5'-ends of tRNAs by cleaving the 5'-leader elements of precursor-tRNAs. Lineage: Bacteria; Bacillati; Actinomycetota; Actinomycetes; Micrococcales; Microbacteriaceae. RNAcentral also lists the same sequence under 1 other name. The record is from RNAcentral.